RNAcentral lists this ribosomal RNA (439 nucleotides) under uncultured bacterium. Its description in RNAcentral is "bacterial SSU rRNA". It matches the Rfam family "Bacterial small subunit ribosomal RNA", at positions 958 to 1398 of the family's 1533-position model. The record is from RNAcentral.
AACGCGAAGAACCUUACCCAGGUUUGACAUGUACUUGAUAGCGACAGAAAUGUCGUCUUCCGAAAGGACAGGUACACAGGUGCUACAUGGCUGUCGUCAGCUCGUGCCGUGAGGUGUUGGGUUAAGUCCCGCAACGAGCGCAACCCUUAUCACUAGUUGCCAGCACUUAGGGUGGGAACUCUAGUGAGACUGCCUGGGUUAACCAGGAGGAAGGUGAGGAUGACGUCAAGUCAGCAUGGCCCUUAUGUCUGGGGCAACACACGUGCUACAAUGGCCGGUACAGAAGGCAGCAAGACCGCAAGGUGGAGCAAAUCCCAAAAGCCGGCCCCAGUUCGGAUUGUAGUCUGCAACUCGACUACAUGAAGUUGGAAUUGCUAGUAAUGGCGCGUCAGCUACAGCGCCGUGAAUACGUUCCCGGGCCUUGUACACACCGAGUAUA